UACGUAGGUGGCGAGCGUUGUCCGGAUUUAUUGGGCGUAAAGCGCGUGUAGGCGGCUUAGCAAGUCGGGCGUGAAAGCCCUCGGCUCAACCGAGGAAGUGCACCCGAAACUGCUGAGCUUGAGUGCCGGAGAGGAUGGCGGAAUUCCCCAAGUAGAGGUGAAAUUCGUAGAUAUGGGGAGGAACACCGGUGGCGAAGGCGGCCAUCUGGACGGUAACUGACGCUGAGACGCGAAAGCGUGGGGAGCAAACAGG
Molecule: ribosomal RNA, 253 nt
Filed under: uncultured bacterium
Lineage: Bacteria
Description: partial 16S ribosomal RNA
Rfam family: Bacterial small subunit ribosomal RNA
Source: RNAcentral